AUACUCAUCACCCUCUCUCAAUAUAUAUAUACUUGUGUUCUGUUCUAUCAUUCACAUUGCAUUACUUUCUCACAUUGUCUUCUUACUUUUUCUUUCUGACUCUCACUCUCUGUUUCCUCCCUCUGAAAAAUGGCGAGCAGCACAGCCGGUGACAAAGCUAGGCGCAACAAUGACAGGCACAGUGGUCGUCCCAUCGGGGGAAAGCCAACCACACAGGAAGAGAAAAAAACAUUUCCUUGUGAAAACUGUGGUCAUGUCUGGUCAUGCAAGAAUGAAGCGAACGAGUGCCUGAAAAAGCACAAGGUGACCGAAGAGAGGCGCAAUGCUGAGGCGUCGACUAAGGCCGCUGAAGCAACUCAGGCUUCCCGCUGCUGCCCGACAUGUGAUGCUGUUUGGCUGAACGGAGAUGCCAUCAGAGAUUGCCGACUGAAACAUUUUCAAGGGUCACCCGUAAGUUUCCAUUUUUUAUCUGGUUUCUUUAUUUUUACUUCCAAUCCUAAUUUUUUCUUUCUUUCUGCAGCAUGGCUCUUAUUCUACAGAUGCAUAAGGAGCAUGGGACUCUAAGUAUUAGAAUAAAAAAAUGGUCUAAUUUUUAGUUUUGUGUCUUCUUGUCUUGAGUUUCUUUAGUGUGGAGUACUCUUUUCCUUCUUUGGGUUUUUCCCAUUGAAGGUUUUUAAUGAGGCUCAUUUUUUUUUUUUCUCUAUCAUGAGAGGAGUGUUCUCAUGAACCUUCCCUCUAUCAAUAAAAUAUUUACCUUAA
Molecule: long non-coding RNA, 759 nt
Filed under: Lotus japonicus
Lineage: Eukaryota; Viridiplantae; Streptophyta; Magnoliopsida; Fabales; Fabaceae
Description: long non-coding RNA (LJAP_LNC001933)
Source: RNAcentral